UUUCCGUUAUCCUCACCCUGUAACGCGCAAUCGCCUCCCAAAGUUCCAUUUGAUGCCAUCUUUUUCGCCGGUGAAAAUGCUCAUCACUACGAUAGCAUGUAUGACACUUUUCAUUACAUUUUGGCAUCAUAGAGAUUCAUUGUUAUUUUUCUUGAAUGUUGUGACAAAUUUCGUAAUACCAAUAUUAAUUUCAACAGCAAAGACGUACAUUUAGCAAAUUAAUGUUGAAGGUUUCCUAGUAUACUAGCAUGAAGAAAGGCCGAUCUCUUAGCAUUGUGAAGGAUUUCAGGGAAAGGAAAAACUUUGUCGAUUUUAAUUAAGAGCAUUUUAUACAAAUUUUAAGGAAAAACUCGUCAAAAGGGUUUUAUUUAUCUUUUCUUAUUCACACAUAUUCAAUUCAAAGGCGAUAAAUUGUUAAUUAGCAAAUUUGUGGUAGAAGACAAUGCUUUUUUUACUUGAAGGGAAGUGGUAAAGGGAAGACCUGAGGUCCGAUCUCUUCAACACUAGUGAAGGGAGCAGACCCUAUGACAAAGGUAAGUGGUAAAGGAUUUUUGGUUUGCUACCAUGUUCUGCAUGUUUCCACCUCUGUUUCAAACACGACGCGAUAAAAUUGAAGACUUUUUCGGGGCACGUGUCAAAUGUAUUGCUAAUUCAUAGGCGAUGCUGAAAGUGGUUUCAUCCUCAUUUCUACGGUCUCUGUGCGCUAAUAUUUAAUGGUUUUCAUCGUGGUAAGUUGAUAUACAACGGUGCCGGAAUCUCUCAAGUAACAAGUAACGGGUGUGCACUUAGUUUUGGAAAAAGAUCGAUUAUCUCUUUUUUGAACUUGAAGUUAUAAAUACAAAUGCUGGCAUAGUGAAUACCUAAUCAUGCAAUUGAGGAUGAGCAUGCCAAAAUUCAAAUUUAUACAAUUGACUUGGGGAAACUACCCAUGCUGGAAACUGCCAGUCUGCAAGGUAUGGCAAUUUCGACAAGAUCUGGUCGGUGCGGGCUUGUUCAGCUGUUGCGGCGUGGUGCGGAUUUCGCUUGGUGUGCGGAUUUAGUGGAUCACAGUGCAGAUUUGGCUUGGCGAUGGACUUGACGGACAAGACGAUAUUGAUGAGGCAAAUCGAAAAACAUUGCUGGAGCUUUUAUGUGUAAUUCAGUGUCCCCUGGGUUUCAAUGAGUGUGCAACUGCUGGUCAUUUUUGGGUUCUGUGCGGAUCUUUUACCCUCAGCCCACAUUGGGGUGGAUUUUCCGGUUUUGAAGGGUUGGUGCGGAUUGUGAACUUGGGCUAGUGCCCUUCGUCGACAUGCGAGCGAUACUUUGCAGCAUGGCUGCGCACGGCUGCAAAGUAUGGCUUCAGCUUCAGCAAUGUUUUUCAAUUUUCCUCAUAUAUCUUGUCUGGUCUGUCAUGUCCAUCAACAAGCAAAUCUGCAAUGUGCUACACCAGUGUCCCAAAAUUAGGGAUAUUUUGGCUUGGGUGUUCGAGGGUAAAAUUCCUCACUACAAAGAGGACUGAAAGUGGAAAAUUGCCAGUCAGAAAGAUACAAAGAAGAAUGAAAACAUGAUCACCAUUUUCUAUGUGAAUGUUACAGGAUGUGGGAGCUGCGAUGAUUUAAUGGAAUUUGAAUGUAGGUACAAGCCAGCCAGCAAAUGUACAUGCGGAUGAUCUUAGUUGUUAAAGUUGGGAGGGCAACUUGUCCUGGAAAAUUAAAGGUGAGAGUGGACCGAGUGGACUAUUCAAUUUCACAAGGAUUUCACUUUCCACCCAAAUCUUGGGACACUGGGCUACACUAGAUCUGCACCCUACCAGCCAAAUCCGCACCACGCCGCAUCAGAUCAGCACCAGCUGAACAAGCCUGCACCGACAAGCUUUUGUCAAAAUUGCAAUGCUUUGCAGACUGGGAAACUACUAGGCGCAAAUCCAAAUAUUGAUCGACCAAUAAACAGUUGAAGUGAGCAGGGCUAUGACCAAACUAGGAAUAAAUAAUUUAAAUAUGAAUGCUUAUAAUUAUAAAUAGUUAUAAAAAAUUAGUAUUUGUCAAUCACCAUUCAGCGACCGUUGACCUGACUCAGUCUGAAAAACGUGGCAGCCACGUUUUUCAGACAUGCUGAAAGCUGUCAUGCUGCACCUCUUAAUAUUAAUUGUAUAACAACUUUGCCAGUGCCGGAGACGACGGCGACGUCACCUGCGAGUUCCGCGGAACCCCUGACGCCGUCACCAGCUGGACCAUCCGCGGCCCUGGACCAUCCAGCGACGGCCGUGACGCCGUCACCAGCUGGACCAUCCGCGGCACUGGACCAUCCAGCGACGGCCGUGGCAUCGACUCUGCCAGUGCCGGAGAGGUCGGCGACGUCACCUGCGCCGCUGGUGUCAACACCGCAUGGACAUCAGCUGCGAGCUGGUAAACGGCGGUGGAGUGGAAGCAGAGCGCGCAAGCCACCAGCCAGCUGACUCAGAGCCCAGGGGGCGUUCGCCACCAACAUCCGCACGGCGCAGCUGCAGAGGUGAUUUCUGCCAUGGAGCAGCAUCCGCGGCUCCAUGACAUCAUCCUUCCAUCAUUCUCCAUCAUCAUUUCCGGAGCUCACCCGACGGCGGAGCUGGCGACGCCCGCGCCCCGCCUGGCCGUCCAGCCUGCGCGCUCCGCCGCGCGCCGCGGGCCCGGCUCGCCGAGACGUCCGGCUUAGGUCGGCGUUUGAGGCGCGGCGGGGGGCAACGUCUCUGUGCCCUGCUCCGGGUCCCCGCCGCCUGCGGUCUCUUCUUCUGCCGCCACUGAGGGGAACGGCUCUUCUUUGAAGACAUCAUCGGUCGACGGUGAUGCUGGCGGGCCGGUGGCGGCGUGCCCCGUCGGCAGCGCGCCUGGGGAGGACGCUGGUGACGACGAAUCUUCAUCGCCGUCGGCACCGGUCGCGAGCGAGUCGCUGUUUAGUUGGCCUGCUACUGUGCCAAAAAGUGCGACUGUGGCCAGACUGGUAUACGAUUUGUCAGUGCUUACGCCCCUCUUGCCGUGCCGGCCGUGCUCUUUGCCGUCUAUUGGGGAUGCGUUAGAGUUAUCGUUUUGGGGUUUAUACCGGUAUCAAGAUUGAUUUAAAAGAUGGAUUUCAUCACAUUUCUCGCGCACGUUCCACACGUCCUUUUGGUGUUUUGUAUGAUGGUAAAACGUGCUUAUACCUUUUCUCUGUUACCAAUGGGCCCUAUUAGGUACUGCAUCUCCUGCAUUAUUAGGUAGAGAUGCAGUACCAUUAUUAGGUACUGCAUUAUUAGGUACUGAAGGAGAUGCAGUUAGGUACUGCAUCUCCUUCGGAGAUGCAGUACCUAACAGAUGCUUUCAGUGAACUUGUAGAGUCGAGAUUUAACGUCAGGUGUUUGGCGUAUUUAGAUGAUUUUCUUUUCAUGUCCAAGGACGCUGAAUGGUAUCGCUGCGUUUCUGACUAGUGUUGGGUUGUGUAUUAAUUUCAAUAAAUUAGUUCUCGUUCCGUU
This 3460-nucleotide long non-coding RNA is filed under the name Amphibalanus amphitrite. Its description in RNAcentral is "uncharacterized LOC122371167, transcript variant X2". The record is from RNAcentral. Lineage: Eukaryota; Metazoa; Arthropoda; Thecostraca; Balanomorpha; Balanidae.